CCAAUGCUGACAGUUUUAUCCGACAGUUCCCUGAUGGCUACAGUACCAUUCUGGGGGAGAGAGGAGUUACCGUGUCUGGGGGCCAGAAACAGAGGAUAGCUAUCGCCCGCGCUCUACUGAAAAUCCCAUCCAUCCUCAUACUAGACGAGGCUACCAGGCCUACCACUUUCAAAAGAACCUGCGCAGAACCAUGGCUGUCUCGCGCAUGUAGGGGUGAAGGGUGAUGGUGGGGAAGGGCCUGGAGCAGUGGUGGGGAUAAGUCGUUGGGGCGAGGUGUCUUUCCCCACCACUCUGACUCUCCUGCUGUCCUGCAUGCUCGACUCAUACAGAGUCAUUGAUUGAGGUGCUGGUGAACUGAUUGAAGACUUAAAAAUGUUUUGUCAUUAGUGUGAGGUGUGAUAGUACGGACUGUUGUGAUAAAUUACUACUGUUUAUGAUUUACUUUAUAUGUUUUAAAAUAAAUGUUCUA
Molecule: long non-coding RNA, 469 nt
Organism: Macrosteles quadrilineatus (aster leafhopper)
Lineage: Eukaryota; Metazoa; Arthropoda; Insecta; Hemiptera; Cicadellidae
Exons: 3
Source: RefSeq, a predicted model, not a curated record